UACACGUUGAGUUUCCUGGGGAUUUUAACGUGUUCCUCCCGUCUCCCCUUCAGCUUCCAACUCGCCCGUCAUCUUCAUCUCCCUCAUCACGCGAAAUCCAAAUCCGAACGAAAGAAAAUCCCCAAAUCUUAAGUCUUCUCCGCACCUGAUCCUCCCCAACUCCCGCGCCGCCCGAUUCGAUCCGGCGCCGGGCCGCCGAUCCCCUGCGGCGGCAUGGAGGCGCCCGAUCGCCUGUACCCCUCGGUCGAGCCGUACGACCUCGAGCCCCCGCAACUCGACGACGACGCCGCCGUGGGCACCGGCGAGGCUAGGGUUUGCGACCCGCCGGUGAGGUGGGACGAGGAGCCCAAGGAGGGAACCCACGUAUGCGAGCAAGGGGCAAAAGAUAAUCCUGACAGAGAUGACAUGGAAGACCACCUUAGUGUUGUCAAUAUUUAUGAGAGUGAUGACGAAAUGACCACCUUCAAGGGAUCAGGAGAAAACAUCCAUUCUGAUUGCCCACUUCGUCAACAAACUGGCAUCUGGGUACCUCCUUCUGUUCCACCGAUGACAAAGCAUGAUCAUGAGGAGUGGCAAAAGGGCUUUGUCUCAAAUGCUGGAUACUUCAUAGAAGACGAAUAUAAGUGGGAUAUGGAUGAAGACAUUAGGGAGAUGACAAUGUGGGAUGUGUUUGCUGAGAUGGCUGUUGCAGGAAAAGAUAAAUUAUUAUCUGUUGCAUCAUAUGAUUUUGGGAGGCAUAGCAUGUCUCUAGUUUCACACUUCCUUCUUCAAGCGGCUUUGGAGGAUAACUCUCAAACACUUGCAGAGGCCAGUGUUGGUUCUGAACAUGCCCUGCUUGAGACAGAACCGACAAAGUGGUUGCCUGAUAGUGCUGCUCCUUCUUGCAUGCUCUGUGGAGCGCGCUUCCAUCCAGUAAUUUGCUCUCGCCAUCAUUGUCGUUUUUGUGGUGGGAUAUUCUGUGGCAGCUGUUCAAAGGGUAGAAGCUUGAUGCCUCCAAAAUUUGGAACUUCAGAUCCUCAAAGGGUCUGUGAUGUUUGUGGAGUACGCCUUGAGUGUAUUCAGCCUUACUUGAUGAACCAGAUAAGUCGUGCUUGUCAACUUCCGACUAAAGAUUUGACAGACCUGAGCACCUUGAGGUCAUGGUUAAACCUCCCAUGGGCACCAACGAUGGAGUAUGAGAUAUACAAGGCUGCAAAUUCCAUACAUGGGUAUUGUAAGGUUGGAAAGCUGAAUCCAGAGAAGUCCAUUCCUGAUUCAAUUCUUAGACAAGCAAAGGGGCUUGCUAUAAUUACUGUGGUAAAGGUUGGAAUGAUGGUCACAUACAAAAUUGGUACUGGGCUGGUUAUUGCUCGCAGAGCUGAUGGUUCUUGGUCCCCUCCUUCAGCCAUAUCUACUUGUGGUGUUGGAUAUGGAGCUCAGGCUGGCGCUGAGUUAGCUGACUUCAUCAUUGUUCUGAGGAACACUGAUGCAAUUAAAACAUUCAGUGGAAAUGCACAUUUGUCACUUGGGGCUGGUUUCGGUGCUUCGGCUGGUCAUCUUGGACGGGUGGCAGAGGCUGAUUUCCGUGCCGGUGAUGGUGGUUAUGCUGCCUGUUACACAUACAGUUGUAGCAAAGGUAUGGCUGAAAUCAUCAGUAGCUGAGCAGGACUUGACUUCGUUCUAUUAAUUUUAUCUGUUCAAAUUUCUCCUGGACUAUAUUUUCCCAAUUUGCUGAUUCUGUUUAAAAACCAGGGCGGCAAAAAGAUGGAAACAAUUUCUCUUGAGUACCACUUAGUUCUUAGAGUAGAUGCCACUUUGCCAGGUCCCUUUAUUUUUUAGUUUUGAAUGAUGAAUACUAAUCUGUGUGUGAUUUACAUUAUUAACCAUUAUCUCAUUGCACAUUAAACUUGGCAUUGUUGAUUCUGCCAAAUUGGUAGCUUUUACAAAUAGCUUUUGUAACUCGGGAAGUAUCAUUCACCCAGCAAUAUAUAGUCAGAUAUUAUUGAGUUUUAUUGUGAUUGUCUGUGAAAGUAGUUUGAUGUUUACACAUAUAUCCAACAUUCCUGAAGCCUCUAGCUUCUUAUGAUAAUUUGUGAUCCAGACCAAGAAUUGUAUUCCUUAGAAAAUGGUCCAUAGACCUUUUAGGCUUUAGCCAUGUUACGGUAUGCGGUGGGCACAUACCUGGUUAUUGGUAUCUCCUAUGGCCAAAUAUACGCUAGUGUAUUCAAAUUUGUGCUUCUGUCCUCUGGGCAGUUGAACAAAAUGAAAUCGUGAUGGUCAAGUUUUGCAACUGCUGGUUUCCACAUUUCUAGCAGUACAUUCAGACAACUUGUUAAAUUAACAUGUGGUAUAGAACUAUCUGAGUAACAAAUUGUUACAUAUAAGUUGUACUGCAUUCGGGGUGGGCUACAUCACCUGUUGGAUUUGGCAUGAACAGUUAGGAUGACAGCAUGUAUGGAUGGUCUUAACUUCGCACAGACAGUGGUACAAUCUUCUUAAACAUGGAGUACUUCAAAUUUGUAGCAACGCGCCAGCAUGUGCUAUAACUUGCAAAAUGUAUUUGUGUGUCUUUGUGGCUGAAAACCAUGAAAUAGCAUGCAGUUUAUGUUGCUCAAUUGUGACUUCUUGAACUGAAAAAAGCGCAGUUGUACUUUGGACUGUUUUAUCAGUAUUAGCUGUGUAAUUAUUUGCUUCUGUAAACAGUUAUUAGUAUAAUUAUUGGGUAUCAUUUCCCAAUGAUAUGUUCAAUAUUGUACUACCUCAUGAUUUUUUUAGCUAGUUUAGCCUACAAAAACAUCUUAUAUUUCGAUACGAAGGUAAUUGCAUAUAUGACCUCUUAUGAUUUUAGUUAUUACAAAAGCUGGGUGCAUACUGAUGUCCAACUAAAUGUAGUUCUUUUAUAAUGUUUGUUUGGAAUGUUACAUUUGUACCAUUGGUGACAAUGAUGAGUACAUCUGGUAAUCUCCACUGGAUCGGUCAUACACAGUUUUUGUUUCGCUCACUUUGAUGUUUACAUCUUUUUCUUUCUCUGGCAGGCGCCUUUGUGGGAUGCGCACUCAAUGGAAGUGUAGUAUCAACCCGAAACAACGAAAAUGCCCGAUUCUAUGGCGGUCCAGUCAAGGCAUCAGAAAUCCUUCUUGGUUCACUGCCCAAGCCACCUGCCGCCGCCACUCUCUAUAAAGCUCUAUCCACACUAUUUGAUAAGAUCGGAAAGUAAUAUUCGUCUUUCAUGUGGUGACACACAUUGUGUCGCUCCCUGUUGGUCGUCACCUUUGGAGCUUCAGUAUCUCUAGGUAAUUUGCUUGUUUGCUAAUUCCUGGGUGCCAGUCAAGCAACUGUACAGUUUACCAUUCGUUGGUACAUGAAACAGGUCAUCUAUCCAGUGCCAGAAACCACUUUGUAAAUGUUGUACAUAUUGAUCACAAUUGCGCGAGAAAUGAAAGGGAAAGAAAAUUCUUCAUCAGUCUUACCCUUGAUUGAAACUCGUCUGGCAUCUUACUGUUGCAAUGUGAGCAACUUACUCGUCUUUGUUUUACCUAGACCACCUAUCGGCAUCUCGGCCUGCCACUGUUUUUUGCAAAAAGGACCUGUAGGUUCAUAUAAAGUGUUUGAAACCUGUGAUGGUAUAAUUUAUUUGCUUCUGGCGGUGCCGUACAUGAACAUGCACACUGGGAUGUUAAUUUUGCCACUAGCCAGUUUUAUCAUGAUGGCAAUAGAUGUACUAGCAGCAUGUGCUGUGUACAUGUACUAUUUCUUUGGGACCUGCGGCUGCGCCCAGCUUUUUUCAGUUGGCUACCGCUGA
Molecule: ribosomal RNA, 3781 nt
Filed under: Triticum aestivum (bread wheat)
Lineage: Eukaryota; Viridiplantae; Streptophyta; Magnoliopsida; Poales; Poaceae
Description: partial small subunit ribosomal RNA
Source: RNAcentral